CCGGGGCCGGGGCCGGGGAUGGCGCCGCGGGUGGCGGGGUUCUCGCCGGCUCUGCCGCCCGGUGCGUGCCCGCGGGGCCGGCGGGGAACAGGCGGGGGUGCCAGUACUGCCCGGGGGCCCGGCGAGCGACUCCGGGGAAUAAAAGCGAGGGGAGUCGCGGCGGAACGGGCUUUGUUCCGUAGGUGGCGGCUGCCGUGGGGAUGUGCAGCUGCGGUUUCGUUCUCCAGGGCCGCGGAUGGCCGCCCUGCGCAGCUGGAGAGCCGCUUCCUGACAGGCACUCUGCUCCUGAAGAUCUCCCUAGGCAGCAGCCUGGGCCAUUCCUUCAUGACCUGCCUGGACCCAGGGCCUGCUUCUCACCAGGUAGCCCACCUUGAAGUUUGCUCAGUAGUUGCAUCCCUGCCCCAAAUAAUUUUCCCUGGUGUUCAGGGCAGAUGCAACCUCUCCUGUGUCCACAGCAGGCAUGUGGGCUGUGACAUGUUGUAUGUGGGUGCCAAGACUCACUCAUUUUACUUGCCUCAGCUCCCCAGUAGGGCACAUCCUGCCCCAGUGGCUGGAGCCUCACUGUUAGCUGCACCAUUUGCUAGCAUCAGGGCCUUUACCCACUCCCAUUGCUGGCAUAAUAGGAAUUUAUAUCCCAAAUAGUUGUACGCUGUCAACUUAAUAAAUGCUGUGUGCAUGUGUCA
RNAcentral lists this long non-coding RNA (683 nucleotides) under Parus major (Great Tit). RNAcentral's name for it is "lncRNA (ENSPMJG00000005012.1)". The record is from RNAcentral. Lineage: Eukaryota; Metazoa; Chordata; Aves; Passeriformes; Paridae.